This 213-nucleotide ribosomal RNA is filed under the name uncultured bacterium. Its description in RNAcentral is "partial 16S ribosomal RNA". It matches the Rfam family "Bacterial small subunit ribosomal RNA", at positions 1290 to 1500 of the family's 1533-position model. The record is from RNAcentral.
AGUUCGGAUUGUAGGCUGAAACUCGCCUACAUGAAGCUGGAGUUACUAGUAAUCGCAGAUCAGAAUGCUGUGGUGAAUGCGUUCCCGGGUCUUGUACACACCGCCCGUCACACCACGGAAGUUGGGGGCGCCCGAAGCCACUUAGCUAACCCUUUUGGGAAGCGAGUGUCGAAGGUGAAAUCAAUAACUGGGGUGAAGUCGUAACAAGGUAGC